ACCCAGCUGGCUCAGUCAGUAGAGCAUGUGACUCCUGAUCUUGGAGUUGUGAGUUCAAGCCCCAUGUUGGGUA
Molecule: transfer RNA, 73 nt
Filed under: Felis catus (domestic cat)
Lineage: Eukaryota; Metazoa; Chordata; Mammalia; Carnivora; Felidae
Also listed under: 3 other names
Rfam family: tRNA
About the family: Transfer RNA (tRNA) molecules are approximately 80 nucleotides in length.
Source: Rfam by way of RNAcentral